Drosophila busckii is the source of this 4418-nucleotide long non-coding RNA. RefSeq lists it as uncharacterized. The transcript is spliced from 3 exons. The record is from RefSeq and is a predicted model, not a curated record. NCBI's taxonomy places the organism in Eukaryota, Metazoa, Arthropoda, Insecta, Diptera, Drosophilidae.
GCAAAAAUUUUCUUGCAAUAGAAUCGUUGAACGCCCGGACAAGUUGCAGUCAAUAAAAAUUAAUUGAUGAAAAAAGCAAUUAAAUUAAAUUAAAUGCAAGUUAACGAGUUUAUAAAUUGCAAGAAAUGCAAAAAGUAAAAAAAGAAGAAGUGAAAAACGAAAGCAAGAAUUGCAAAUUGUUGAGGUAGCAAAAGUAGAAGGAAGGAAGGACGAAAGAUGAAAGAUGACAGAAGGAAGGAAGGAAGUAAGACUGACGAAGAUGGAAGGAAGACCCAGAAGACCGUGUUAAGUGCAGUUUUCCAGAAGAAAAAAACAGGCAGCUGCAUUUUCCAAGGACGAAGCGCAGCAACCCCUAAUGCGCAUGAUAUACCCGAGAUAGAGUGGGCAGGCAGGCAGGCAGAUAGACGAAGAGACGUGCAGAAGGACAGGAAGAAAGACGCGAAGACCCUAAGCCGAACCAGAACCCGUACCCGAAAGAACCCUCGAGAAAAGGUCAGCGAGGUGCUACCUGAGAACCAGACCAGACCAGACCAGACCAGACUUUUGCUACCUAGAAACGCUAACCGAGUUUACCUUUUGGAAGUGCUGAGCUGUGCCUGCCGCAGUCGAGUGUCUAGGCUACGAGUGAGAUGACGUUGCUGAAACUGUAAAAAUUGUGUUUAAAACUUAAAAGUGCAAAAAGAUUGAUUGAAUCAAUGCCACACCAUCAAUUGAAUUGAAUAGUCUGCCAAUGUGUGUGUGUGUGUGUGCAGUUGGCGCUUGUGGGGCUGUCGGCUUGAGUGUCGCGCUCGAGUCCGACUCAUGUCUCGAAGAUCUAAGAAGCGUCUGCUGCAUUCGAGUUUCUCUUGCGCUGUGGACUUAACUGCUAUUGGCACCAUGGGCCCCACUGUAAAUAAAUCUCAGUAGCGCUGCUUGCUGGAAGGACUGGUCGGACGAGUGCAGCGGAUGCGACGAUUUCACUUUGCAUUCGGAUUCGUGCAGCGCACACACGGACGCAGGAAAAAACACAAACACACUAGCACAGGCUGUCGAAGCGACCUCAUACUUCCAGUCAACGCGUGGGUGUAGUGUUGCAUGUGUGUGUGUGUGCGAGGCCUUACAUGAAUGCGAGCGAAUGGGCGAUAGGCAGCAGCAGCAACAUGCGCUCCGAUUCAUGCGCAUCUGCUAUCCCACUCGCACGCUCAGUAGUUUGCCGGCGCAGCGUUAAAGCAGCACAACCAUAGCAGCGAAGUUCGUGGGUAGCACCAAUGGAGAGACUGAAUGCAGCCGCCCUAACGCUUCGCUGGAUUGAUAAAAGCAAAGGCUGCCGCCGCACAUUGGCAACACUUUCCACUUGCCUAAGCUCCACUUAAAAAACACACAAAUUGCAGAAAUUUCAAAUUCACAAUUCCCCAGUUAACUUCAAUGCGGUUUUUUUUUAGCUAUCGGUUUUUUUUUGAUGGGGGAAAAGACACUCGACUGUGACUACAAUAGACAGCGCUAUCUAACUGGCAAAUCUUUUGGUGAAACGCUAGCAACAUUAUGGCUUGAUAAGUGCCCAGCCCAACACCACCCACUAGCAGAGCUAGCAACUUGUUCAAUUGCAUUGACUCUUUUGUAAGUACAGUCAGCUCAAAGGUCGCUUACAAUUGCAACAGAAAUAACUAAAACACGCACACACAAGCCAUAAACUCAAAAAUUAGUUCAGCAAACAGCAGUUGCCAUUAAUAAAUAAUUCGCAAUUCUAAGCUUUGAAAUCGCAGCCAAAGAGAUAAAUAAAGCGAUUUAUAAUUUGCGUACAUAUCAUUGCAUAUUGAAUACUAAAUACAGUUUGCUUACAGCUUGUUUUCAUAGUUUUUUGCUAAAAACUAUGUAAAUGCAUUUUACAUUAAUUGCGCUUAGGUGAGUUGUCAAUACGCCAACACUUCAAUUCAAUUGCACAAUUGCUCAGAUUAAUUAACAAUAUGAAUCAUAACCAAAAGAAAACUAAAGUUUUCUAUGUGUUUUCUAUACAAAACACUUAGCAAACGCUUGAAUGCAAAGGACAAUGCGCGUUUUUUUUUAAAUUAGCGCUUAAGUAAAAAGGAGUAAGAGUUAGGGCUUGCAAAAUAAAGGGACAAUACGCGUUUUUUUUUUUUGCCAAAAGCGUUUAAGUAGUAAGCAUAGCAGUAGGGCAUUAAAAUAUAGAACAAAGGACAAUAGCAAACAAAAUAAUAGUUAGGCACUCAAAUCUAAAAGGACAAUGCGUGUUUUUUUUUCAUAUGCGUAAAAAAAUAUAUUAGCUAGGAAUAAAAAGAUAACAUAUAGCAAGUCUAUUGCUAGUUACACCCCUAGUCUGCGUAGCGGAUGUGACUAGCAAGGGACUUGGACAUUUCUUAUAACAAACAUACUAUUUUUGCUCAGCUGUAGCUUAAAUAUCUAACACAAUAAAAAUAACCAUUAACAUUAAAAAAGAAAGCAAACGUAACAUGUUUAAUCUGCUUAAAUGUUGUGCAAUUUGCCAAACUCUCUCACACACACACACACACACACAUACCAAUGUGCAUCAGUUUUGAAUUUAUUGGAUUAACCUAUUUGCUGUGUUUUUCAGAGUGACUGACCGUCAGUGUCGAAACUUGGAGCGCACUGCUUGGAGCGUGAGCAUUACUUUUAAUUUUCACCGAAAAGCGAUUUCAAAGCGCUCCAAAUUCCAAGCUCACUAAAUUUUCAAGCACUGUUCGUUUCAACGUCUAAUUUUACACACACUAUAUUCGAUACACAAAUUUUAUUGUUGCAAUUGUUGUAGCCCUUACGCUGCCUUGUGCGCCGCAAAGAGUUUUGAUAUGCAUAAGCCAUGGCGAACGAUUUUCAAGCCCUGCCUGCCAGCCAAACUGCGAUACAACAAGCCAAGAAGCAUUCUCUAAGAAGCUCUCUUAACUAACUGUACUAAAUAUUGCUUCUAAAUUACAGCGGACUGAAGCAGCUAACUCAAUUUUUAGUUUCUCGUUUGGUUCUCAACUUCAGUUUCAAUUCAAUUUUAGUUCUAAAUUGACAUACCUACCACCCACCCAUUGGCGAUUUACAUUUUCUAUAUCUUUUAUCUCACCAACUCAUCAUACUCAACUCAUUCAACAACAAAAAGCUGAAAAACAAAAUUUUGCCAUUUUUUUGUUUUUUUUUUCUAACUGGUUGGUAAUUUAUGAUUCUGCACCAAAUAGAGCAGAAUUAAAAAUUGGCAAUGCGUAGAUUGUUUCCAGCAUAGAAGAAUAUGAACUGUUGUAUGAAAAGUACUAGUUACUUAGCAUAGUUCAGGUCUUAUAUAAAUAAGCAAAUUAUAAUGGUUUAAGCGUUUGUGCAUAAACAAUUAUAAUUAAUUGGCUCAAUCGGUUCGGGGAAACGUCAUACGCAAACGAAAGUCAAAUCCGUCGAAAUCCGCGGCAAAACAAAUCCGUAGAUAUUAAGAGUAACUUCGUACGAGCCUUAAUAUUAUACAAAAAAAUACUUCUAUUGUAAUGUUGUACGAGCCUUAAUAUUAUAAAAAAAAAUACUGCUAUUGUUAUACGCCUGCCUCGAUGCAAUAAAGUUUCGUAUGACAUAAUAUUAAGGAUCGAGGUGGGAAUAAUAACAAAAUCACUCAUAUACAUACAUUUCAUUUUUUUAUAUUUUAAUUUUACACAUUUUUCUUUGGUACUCAUUAAAUAAACUGUGAUCUAAACAUAAACAUCUGUCUUGUUUAUUUAUUUUUUUAUAUAAUUUUGUUUGAUAAAUUCCAAUCAUUGGAAGCAACGCCCGUUUGUUAGCUCCUGCUCCUUUCGACUGCAAAAUGACAUGGAUUUUCAUGCUCCUGGGCAUAAAAUCUAUCGAACUGCAUACGAGGAUAUCCAGGAUUGAAAACACAAUGCUGCCAGCAACUGCUGCUCCUUCGUUAUCCAUCCGAUGCAAAAAAGACUUGCAUUUUCGAGCUGCUGAACAUCGAAUCCAUCGAACUGCAUACCAAGAUAUCAAGGAUUGCACAACAAAAUUUCUUGAAAAAAUUUGCAGGGGAGUUUCGUCCUGUGAGUUGCACAUACUAAAAAUUUUGUAAAUGCGACAGGAUACGGACUAGUUAUGGCCAAUUUUCUAAAGAGGAUUCGUGUAGCAAACAAACAAAAUGUUGCAUACUUUUAAGAUGAGCAUUAUAUACAAGCGAAUUAGCCAAGACAACAACUUGUUAGUGCGUUAGCAAGCACAAAAACCACAAGUAAACAAAACUAACUUAGCCAAGAGCCCGCACCAAAAACAUUGCAACUUGGCAGUAAGCGAAAAAACAAGAUUUGAUUGUAUUUUUAUUUAUAUUCUUUAUUGAAAAUAUUUAUUACCAUAUAUCUUUUCUCGCACGUUUCAUAUUUUUUUGCGUUUUGUUGUUUUCUGCAAAGAAAAAUCUUCAAAAUCGUUAUAAAAAAUGCAAGUAAACAGACUUA